GGCUAGGUGGUAGAGUGGUUAUACAACGGCCUGCAAAGCCGUGUACACCGGUUCGAUUCCGGUCCUAGCCUCCA
This 74-nucleotide transfer RNA is filed under the name Oceanococcus atlanticus. Its description in RNAcentral is "tRNA-Cys". It matches the Rfam family "tRNA". Rfam says of the family: Transfer RNA (tRNA) molecules are approximately 80 nucleotides in length. Their secondary structure includes four short double-helical elements and three loops (D, anti-codon, and T loops). Lineage: Bacteria; Pseudomonadati; Pseudomonadota; Gammaproteobacteria; Chromatiales; Oceanococcaceae. RNAcentral also lists the same sequence under 2 other names. The record is from RNAcentral.